RNAcentral lists this ribosomal RNA (397 nucleotides) under Escherichia coli. Its description in RNAcentral is "partial 23S ribosomal RNA". It matches the Rfam family "Bacterial large subunit ribosomal RNA", at positions 1377 to 1774 of the family's 2925-position model. The record is from RNAcentral. Lineage: Bacteria; Pseudomonadati; Pseudomonadota; Gammaproteobacteria; Enterobacterales; Enterobacteriaceae.
GGGUGAGUCGUCCCCUAAGGCGAGGCCGAAAGGCGUAGUCGAUGGGAAACAGGUUAAUAUUCCUGUACUUGGUGUUACUGCGAAGGGGGGACGGAGAAGGUUAUGUUGGCCGGGCGCCGGUUGUCUUGGUUUAAGCGUGUAGGCUGGUUUUCCAGGCAAAUCCGGAAAACUAAGGCUGAGGCGUGAUGACGAGGCACUACGUUGCUGACGCGACAAAUCCCCUGCUUCCAGGAAAAGUCUCUAGGCAUCAGGUAACAUCAAAUCGUACCCGAAAGCGACUCAGGUGGUCAGGUAGAGAAUACCAAAGCGCUGGAGAGAACUCGGGUGAAGGGACUAGGCAAAAUGGUGACGUAUCUUCGGGAGAAGGCACGUUGAUAUGUUGGGGAAACGACUUGCU